Molecule: ribosomal RNA, 248 nt
Filed under: uncultured bacterium
Lineage: Bacteria
Description: partial 16S ribosomal RNA
Rfam family: Bacterial small subunit ribosomal RNA
Source: RNAcentral
GGGCAGCUAGCCAGUGAUGGCAUGCGAAUCUCGAAAGCCUGUCUCAGUUCGGAUUGGAGGCUGAAACCCGCCUCCAUGAAGUUGGAUUCGCUAGUAAUCGCGCAUCAGCCAUGGCGCGGUGAAUACGUUCCCGGGCCUUGUACACACCGCCCGUCAAGCCAUGGAAGCCGGGGGUGCCUGAAGUUCGUGACCGCAAGGAGCGACCUAGGGCAAAACUGGUGACUGGGGCUAAGUCGUAACAAGGUAAC